CUCAAAAGAAAAAGAAAUAGGAACUUGUGAUGCUCUUAUCCAAGGCUCCAAAAUAAAUUUAACAUACAACUUAUCAUGGCUAGACAUUGACCCACAAGCAUCAGAUAAAUGGCCCAGUCUACUAUAGUAAUAACAAACAUCAGGAAGCUCCUCAUAAAUAAAUUCUUACCAAAAAGUUUCAUCAUAGAUUUUGAGAUGAGUAUCAGGAC
Molecule: long non-coding RNA, 209 nt
Filed under: Elaeis guineensis (African oil palm)
Lineage: Eukaryota; Viridiplantae; Streptophyta; Magnoliopsida; Arecales; Arecaceae
Description: long non-coding RNA (EGUI_LNC052920)
Source: RNAcentral